Molecule: long non-coding RNA, 5878 nt
Filed under: Homo sapiens (human)
Lineage: Eukaryota; Metazoa; Chordata; Mammalia; Primates; Hominidae
Description: non-protein coding lnc-TMEM86A-5:1
Source: RNAcentral
AUUCAACGCCCCGGGCUCAGCCGCGGCUGCGCCCGGAAUCCGGGGCCUCUCCUUCGUGACCCCGGAGUGGGCAAGUGACGAGGGCACGGCCAGAAACGCAUUGGCGUCAAGGAAACCACGACCCAUCUUCCUGGAAGGAAACUUGGGGACACUUAUGAAGAGAAGACUAGGAAGGACCGGAGUAGAAGCACUAAAGGAGGUAGAGGCAACACGCGGUGUUCUUGAAGAGUUUCCAGACAGAUGUAUUAAAUUCCACAGUGUAUCAGGAAAGAGCAAGACCGAAAAUUGCAGUUGAAUUUAGGAAGGAGGCGGUAAUGGAACUUCAGAAGCAAAAUUUCAGGGAGUAGAAAGGAAAAACAAAGUCAGGAGGAGCCUUGCCGGAGAAGCGGAGAUAGGACAGCCCCAGCAUGAGGGUGGCUUAGCACGGGGAGAGUGGUUGCUUUUUUUAUUUUUUUUAGGGGUGCCAUAACAAUGUUGGUGGUCAAAGAGAGGAGAAAUCCAGGUGAACAAAUAGUUGGAAAACAAGAGAGGAGGGAGAUGGGUGGAUAAGGUCAUCUGGAGAAGGUGGGUGAAGAAGAGAUGCAGGAUACAGUAAUUUUCUGGCGUUGUUUGAUCUCCUUGGCCCAUGGCUGACUUACCUGCCCUGUAUCCCUGGCCUGAGCCACUGAAGCGAAAAGUCCCAGGAGCUGGAUAUUGUAAUUGUCAAGAGGUUGGACAUAUAGGAGAGAGAUUGUAUUUAUAGGAAGAUCUGAAGGGAGUGCUGCCCUGACUCAGGAGAAGAAGCUGAAAAGCUGGAAGGAACAUUCAUUCAGAAAGUUUUUGUUGAGCAUCUACUACUUGCCAGCUAUUUUUCCAGGUCUCAGGAUACAGCCGUGAACAAAAUACACUCAGAUAGCUGAUGUCUUAAGGGUGUCAUUCCUUUAUUAGCAGAGAGAGAGCAAAACAAUAAAUGUAAUAAGUAAAUUAUUCAGCAUGUCAGAAGGUUGAUUACGUGUUGUGGAGAAUAAAUUCUGAAAAGGGUAGGGAGAUUGGGGUAGGUCUCACUGAGGGGUGAGGGAGUAAGUGUUACGAAUCCGAGUGCAGACAAAGCAGUAGCCUAAGGCAUGUGCCCAGGGAGGCUCAACACAGCAAGGAGGCCAGUGUGGCUGGAGUAGAAUGAAGUAAGAUGGGAGUGGAGACAAGGAGGCUAAGUCAGGGAAAUAAGACGGGGGAACAAGUGGUUUAGAGAAGUGAGUCUUCUAGUGUGAGCCCCAGAUCUGCAGCCUCAGGUGCUGGGAGUUGUUAGAAAUGCAGAUGCUAAGACCUCAACCCCAGCUUUAUUCAAUCACAGGCUCUGGGGUUGGGGACCAGCAAUUCUCUUUUAACAAUUCUUCCAGAUGAUUCUGAUGGGUGAUGAAGUCCAAGAACCACUGUGGGACUUUGUAGACAAUUGUAAGGACUCUGGCCUGUCCCUGCCCUCCAGCCAGAGACCAUCAGGAACACACCUGUGCUUAAACAAGUUGAGUUCAUUAUUAAUAGUUCUUGCAGUGAGGAAGCAGGUGUUGUGGAGGACCAUUGGGACAGCUUGGUGAGGGUGAGAGAACCUAUUAUAGAAUUUGGGCGAUUUGCGGGAGGGCUCAAGAAAGCCAGGCUUCACCCUGGAUUGGGUGCUGUCAGAAAGCAGGGACAUUUCUGUGACUAGGUAUCUGAAUAAGUAUUGUCUAUAAGAUGGACAGACUAGAGUGAGGAUAAAGCUAUACCUAGUAAAGAAGCAGCAGUCACUCAUAAUAGCAGAGAAGGACGUUUGGUAUUUCAUGGCUUGCACAGUGACCUUGCUCUCUUGUCUCUGCUUAGACACAAUUUUGAAAUGGCCUUGUUGUUGUGUCCCUUUUUUAUAGUCUGACUGACCUUGUCUCAUGUUGGUGUUCUGUGAGAUUAUGUCCCACAGAAGAAUAACUGGGCCAAGCUGUGAGCAUCAGGCCAGCUUCUAACAACCCUGAAGUCUAGCUGUGUCAGACCAGCUCUCAGAUGUCAGGGCCUGCCUCUUCCUUUCUCAGGCUUUUAAUCUGGGAGAAAGAGAAAGCCACUGGGAGGUUUCGAACAGAACAGUGACAUGAUCUGACUGAGCUUUAAAAAAAUAUUAAUAACUCUGCAGUGUUGUGAAGAGGCAGUAGUGUCAGGCAAGAGUAGGCCAGAAGACAAGGUAGGAGGAAGAUUACAGAGAAAAGCUGAUAGAAGGGCUGUUAAGUGCAUCUCAGCCAGAUCUAACCAACCUUAAAACAGUAGAACUGCCAGGGGCUCCAAAUUCUAAUAGAUCCUGCCAGAAAUCCGUGGUAUAAGGAAAAGAUACCAGUUAGCAGCAAGGCCAGAGCAAGAUUCUUCCAUCUUUUAUGAAAGAGCCUUUUAUGAAAGAGGCCUUCCAACCAAACCAAUUCUCUUCUGGUCUAGUCACUAUGCACACUUUAUGCCAGAGAGAGUGUGAGUGAGUGAGUGUGUGUGUGUGUAUGUAGCAUUUCCUUUGUGGAAGGUAUACUGCUAAGAGUUUUAUGUGCUUUAUCUCCGUUCAUCUUCAUAAGACCCUAUGACCUGGAUAGAAUUAUUACCUCAAUUUUACUGAUAAGAAAAUUGAGGUGUAUUGUUAUAUUACCUAUUUUACUUGUUUCUGAGGUUCUGUUGAAUAAGAGAUGUAUUAAUGAUAGCUUUUGGGGGGAGAAGAAAACUACAAAAUUAAACAUACAUACUGAUUUUAACACACCUAUUUGAAAAGAAUGUAAAUGUGAAAUAGAGGAUAUGUAUAUAAUUGUCUCCAUUUUACAGAUAGGGAAACCAAAGACUAAGGUUAAAUUACUGCAGAAGAUGAUGUCAAAGACUGUCUUCCUAAACUACAUGUUAUAGUGCCUCUCACUGUGGGUGAAAUUGUGAUGACACUUUGUGAUUAAUAAUAGUCUAGGAAAUCAGCCAGGUGUGGUGGCUCAUGCCUGUAAUCCCAGCACUUUGGGAUGCCCAGGCAGGCGUAUCAUCUGAGGUCAGGAGUUCGAGACCAGCCUGGCUAACAUGGCGAAACCUCAUCUCUGCUAAAAAUACAAAAAUUAGCUGGAUGUGGCGGCAGGUGCCUUUCAUCCCAGCUCUUUGGGAGGCUGAGGGAGGGAGAAUUGCUUGAAGUUGGGAGGCAGAGGUUACAGUGAGCCGAGAUCUUGCCACUGUAUUCAGCCUGGGCAACAGAGUGAGAUUCCAUCAAAAAAAAAAAGGUCUACAAAGUCUGAAUUAUGUGCUUAUAUUGCUAUGCAGUUACAAGAGAAAGGCUGUGUAGUACUGAAAUUGGCUUUUUUUUUUAAGCCUCUCCCUUGACUUCCAUCCUGACCACCAGGCUACCCUCAUCUCCUGAAACUGGUGCUAUUAGAUCCUAUAAUCCAGUUAGGCUGAAACAUUCACUCUUCCCCAAGUACAUUGUCUUCUUCCUUGCCUCAUACCUUAGUAGCUGCCAGGAGUGUUUUAUUAUACUUUUGUACCUGUCUACCUCCAUCUCCACUCCUCUUUCUGUCCUCAGAUACUGUAAGGCCCUGGCAAAUAGGGGUUGAAUCUCAUUCAUCUCUAUAUUCCCAGUGCCUAGCAUAAUUAUUUAUGCAUAUAUUCCUUCUUAUAUGUAGAAAGCCAGAUAUAAAGAACCUGCAGUGGAAAGUUUGCAGAAUGAAUGAACGUAUAAGGUGAUCAAUGCCUUAAGGAGAAGAAGGUAUAGUGUACUAGUUCUCAGCCUUAUCUGGGCUUCAGACUUUUUUUUAAAACGUCUGUUGAGACCGGGCUCAGUGGCCCACUCCUGUAAUCCCAACACUCUGGGGCUAAGACAGGAGGAUCACUUCGGCCCAGGAGUUUGAGACCAGUCUGUUUUGUAGACCCAACUCUACAAAAAAUUUAAAAAUUAGCCGGGCAUGGUGGUGCACACCUGUAAUCCCAGCUACUUGGGAAACUAGAGCAGGAGGAUCUCUUGCGCCCAGGGGGCUGAGGCUGCACUGAGCUGUGUUUGUGCCACUGCAUUCCAGCCUGGGUGACAGAGCAAGAUCGUGUCUCAAAAAAAAAUCUGUUGAAGAUAUAGACCUGUCCCUGUAUACAUACUCAUGUAUACAGUUUGUUUUGUGUCCAGUUUCUGGAAUGUUUGUAGAUUUACUGAAGUCUGCUAGACCCCAAGUGUCGUUGGUGGGAUCAUAAUUUGCUACAACCUUUGGGCAGAGUAGUCUUGGACCUUUGACCCCAUAAUGCCACAUUGGGAAUCUGUCUUACAGAAAUAAAAGUACUCAGGAUAUAUGUACAAAGAUGUUAAUAAUGUUAAAAGGGGCAAAAAUGUCCCAAACUAAGAAAUGGGAAAAGUGUAUAUGCUGCAUCUUUGUAAGUUUUAGAAAAAACACAAAAAUGGCUUGUUUAAAAUUAGAGCUUGUUUUUUUUUUUUUUUGGUGCUGUACUUCUGAUCUCUCUUUAUACCCUUUGUUGCUUUCAUGAUUAUUGGCCCUAGCAGACAUAUUAGGGGACAAAACCUUGUUAUUCCAGAUAUCACACAUAUAUGUAUUCUUAUCAUAUACUUCUUUUUUUUUUUUUUUUUUGAGAUGGAGUCUUGCUCUGUCGCCCAGGCUAGAGUGCAGUGGCACAAUCUUGGCUCACUGCAACGUCUGCCUCCUGGGUUCAAGUGAUUCUCCUGUUGUAGCCUCCCGAGAAGCUGAGAUUACAGGUGUGCACCACCAUACCUGGCUAAUUUUUGAAUUUUUAGUAGAAACAGGAUUUCACCAUGUUGGUCAGGCUGGUCUCGAACUCCUGACCUCAGGUGAUCCACCCACCUCUGCCUCCCAAAGUGCUAGGAUUACAGGAGUGAGCCACCGCACCUGGCCUAUCAUAUACUUCUUAAAUGUAUAGAACUUAACUGUUGUGUUCAUUGACAGCAAUUUUGUAUCUCAGGUCAUUCUUCCUGAAAUAUCCUUUGUAACAACCUAUGUUUUUAUGAUAUUGUGAAUUAAAACUGCAAUUUUUCUUAAGCUAAUUCUUUUUGUAAGGAUUUUAUUUUAUUUUAUUUUAUUUUAUUAUUUUUUGAGACAGAGUCUCCUCUGUCGCCCAGGCUGGAGUGCAGUGCUGCAGUCUCUGCUUAUUUCAACCUCUGCCUCCCAGGUUCAAGCAAUUCUCAUGCCUUCACCUCCUGAGUAGCUGGGAUUACAGGCACCCGCCACCAUGCCCAGCUAAUUUUUUGUAUAUUUAGUAGAGAUGGGGUUUCACCAUGUUUGCCAGGCUGAUCUCGAACUCCUGGCCUCAGGUGAUCCACCUGCCUCCUCCUCCCAGAGUGCUGAGAUUACAGGCCUAAGCCACUGCACUGGGCCCGUAAGGAUUUUAUACAGCCUCUGCAUUUUCAUACUGUGUCUAAACUUGCAUACUCUUUUUUUUUUUUUUUUUUUUUUUUUGAGAUAGAGUCUCCUCUGUCACCCAGGCUGGAGUGCAGUGGCGCAAUCUCAGCUUACUGCAACCUCUGCCUCCCAGGUUCAAGUGAUUUUCCUGCCUCAGCUUCUCGAGUAGCUGGAAUUACAGGCAUGCGCUACCACACCCGGCUAAUUUUUGUAUUUUUAGUAGAGAUGGGAUUUUGCCCUGUUGGCCAGACUGGUCUAGAACUUCUCAUCUCAGGUGAUCCACCCACCUUGGUCUCCCAAAGUGCUGGGAUUACAGGCAUGAGCCACUGCACCCAGCCUGAACUUGCAUACUUUCUUGUCAUCUUUUUGCUUCCCUGGUUAACAAGAAAAAAAUUGGCCAUGAUUAGAAAUUUGUUGAAGAAAAAAAAUUUUUUUCACCACCAAUACAUUUAUUCAUUUAUUUGCAGGAGAUGGGGUCAAAUCUUACCACUAACUUUUUUUUUUUUUUUUGAGACGGAGUC